CGCGGCCAAGAACCCCUUCACACGUGUAGACAAAGAGACCAUCAACACAACCCAAACAUGCAGGGAAAGUUUUCCAGGACCUCGCGAAGCGCCCAGGCCAGCAUGCACGGGUCUGCGAGUACUGGAUAACUUCUGCUUUCAACGGACGCCCUUUGAAGGAUUUAUUUAAUGAUUAUUUUUCACUGUGGAAUAUUAUUACUGUCCUUCGGGAUUAUUGGACUAUUCAUAAUGAGAAUGAUUACUUUCAACGUAUAGACACCAUGGACAAACAAAAGGUAAGUGCCCUACAUUUAAAACGCAUUUAAUUGUAAUUAUUUUU
Molecule: long non-coding RNA, 319 nt
Organism: Sinocyclocheilus anshuiensis
Lineage: Eukaryota; Metazoa; Chordata; Actinopteri; Cypriniformes; Cyprinidae
Source: Ensembl